Molecule: ribosomal RNA, 378 nt
Filed under: uncultured bacterium
Lineage: Bacteria
Description: bacterial SSU rRNA
Rfam family: Bacterial small subunit ribosomal RNA
Source: RNAcentral
AGUGAACGCUGGCGGCAGGCCUAACACAUGCAAGUCGAACGGCAGCACAGCAGUAGCAAUACUGUGGGUGGCGAGUGGCGGACGGGUGAGGAAUACAUCGGAAUCUGCCUAGUCGUGGGGGAUAACGUAGGGAAACUUACGCUAAUACCGCAUACGACCUACGGGUGAAAGCGGGGGAUCGCAAGACCUCGCGCGAUUAGAUGAGCCGAUGUCCGAUUAGCUAGUUGGCGGGGUAAUGGCCCACCAAGGCGACGAUCGGUAGCUGGUCUGAGAGGAUGAUCAGCCACACUGGAACUGAGACACGGUCCAGACUCCUACGGGAGGCAGCAGUGGGGAAUAUUGGACAAUGGGCGCAAGCCUGAUCCAGCCAUGCCGCGU